This 239-nucleotide unclassified non-coding RNA is filed under the name uncultured Trichomeriaceae. Its description in RNAcentral is "sequence contains ITS1". The record is from RNAcentral. Lineage: Eukaryota; Fungi; Ascomycota; Eurotiomycetes; Chaetothyriales.
CCGAGUUAGGGUCCCCCUCGUGGGGCCCGACCUCCCAACCCCGUGUCUAAUAAACCUGUUUGUGUUGCUUCGGCGGAACGGCAGUCGUUCCUUCUGGAAUAACCGUCGCCGGGGGACUCACGGUCUCACGACCGCCCCUGGAGAGCGUCCGCCGAUGGCCCCAACCAAAACAACUACCAAACCCAAAUUAUGAAACCCAAAUUUUCUGAAUCAGACUUUUGAUAUACCAAUCAAAAACA